RNAcentral lists this transfer RNA (88 nucleotides) under Operophtera brumata (winter moth). It matches the Rfam family "tRNA". From Rfam's summary of the family: Transfer RNA (tRNA) molecules are approximately 80 nucleotides in length. Their secondary structure includes four short double-helical elements and three loops (D, anti-codon, and T loops). Further hydrogen bonds mediate the characteristic L-shaped molecular structure. tRNAs have two regions of fundamental functional importance: the anti-codon, which is responsible for specific mRNA codon recognition, and the 3' end, to which the tRNAs corresponding amino acid is attached (by aminoacyl-tRNA synthetases). tRNAs cope with the degeneracy of the genetic code in two manners: having more than one tRNA (with a specific anti-codon) for a particular amino acid; and 'wobble' base-pairing, i.e. permitting non-standard base-pairing at the 3rd anti-codon position. Lineage: Eukaryota; Metazoa; Arthropoda; Insecta; Lepidoptera; Geometridae. The record is from Rfam by way of RNAcentral.
CCUUCGAUAGCUCAGUUGGUAGAGCGGUGGACUGUAGAGGAAAAUCACUGUCAUCCAUAGGUCGCUGGUUCAAAUCCGGCUCGAAGGA